Molecule: small nucleolar RNA, 132 nt
Organism: Acomys russatus (golden spiny mouse)
Lineage: Eukaryota; Metazoa; Chordata; Mammalia; Rodentia; Muridae
Product: small nucleolar RNA SNORA17
Exons: 1
Source: RefSeq, a predicted model, not a curated record
CUUGCCGGUAGAGGCAUUGCAGGUGUGGUUGCUGUGUCACCUAUGUGUCAGUAGGUGGCAGAGAGGAGAGAGGCUGUGUCUAUGCUCCAUGUUCUGACCUGUGAACAUCUGAAUCAUCAGUAACUUAACAUU